UACCCGCAGCACAAGUGGUGGUCAUUAUUAUUGGGCCUAAAGCGUCCGUAGCUGGCGUGUUAGAUGCCUGGGUAAAUCGAAGCGCUCAACGUUUCGAAUUCCGGGUAGACCGGCACGCUCGAGACCGGGAGAGGUGCAGGGUACUCGGGGGGUAGGGGUAAAAUCCUGUAAUCCUCCGGGGACGACCAGUGGCGAAGGCGCUACACUAGAACGGCUCUGACAGUGAGGGACGAAGCCCUGGGGCGCAAACCGG
This 253-nucleotide ribosomal RNA is filed under the name uncultured bacterium. RNAcentral's name for it is "partial 16S ribosomal RNA". It matches the Rfam family "Archaeal small subunit ribosomal RNA", at positions 474 to 727 of the family's 1478-position model. The record is from RNAcentral.